Molecule: long non-coding RNA, 838 nt
Organism: Herpailurus yagouaroundi (jaguarundi)
Lineage: Eukaryota; Metazoa; Chordata; Mammalia; Carnivora; Felidae
Exons: 5
Source: RefSeq, a predicted model, not a curated record
CAUAAGUAUCCCUAAUUCAAGUGGAUUCAUCAUUCGUUAUACUAAGAUGUGAUCUGGUGAACAGGCAAAAAGGCUUCUCACUAAUGCUCACCGGACUCCGUCUCCUCACUCAUAAAACAAAGAGGUUGAAGCCAACGAUCUGUAGGUUUCUUUGUGUCUCCAACAUUUUGUGCAUUGGUGUUUGGGAGAGACAGAAAGGACACAAUUUCUGCCAUCAAGGAAAUAUUUGAGUCGAGAGAGAUAACAAAGCAAAGCAAUUUUAUGUGAUAUUCUUCAAGAUCUUCAGAGAUAAAUAAUAUUCAGUGUUGACUGUUCGAAAUGGCUACAGCAAAUAAAAGGCCAAGAAUGGAAUGGAAUAAGGUAGACCCCAGAGAAUUUCACCCUGGAGAAUAACCAACAGUGGAGCAGCGUCGUGCCGUUCCCAUGAGACCUAGCUGGAACCUGGGGAGCUGGCGUUGCAAAGGGCUGCUUAGAGACCUGGGAAGAAAAGGGCACUUGGCAAAGGGAAGAAGCUGUUUAGGUUUAGGAAAGAGUCCACUGAUGUCUGCUUGAUGAGUCUGGCCUCGUCUCCACAUAAGGUCUUUAAAUGGUUUCUGAGAACUGCUUUGGCCUCGAGUCAGAACCAUUUCCUUGGAACACAGAUACUCUGCGGCACCACCUGUGAUCCACUGCCACCAAAUCCACUGUGAGCAAAGGGCAAAUACAUCUCCCAAUAAACAUGUCUAUGGCAAGGGCUGAACGGAAAAGCCAGAUCAUGGAAGAGGAGCACAACACAUCCAAAUGUGGAAAAGACGAACAAUAAAACUAGACUCACAGCUUGUCUCUGAUAACAAAUUAA